CCCUUAGAUGUUCUGGGCGGCCCGCGCACUACAUUGGCACUGGCAACAAGAUCCUAGAUCUGAUAUUUCGGGGUAUUCUACCAACUGGUGUCGUGACUGGGAUUAACCCCUGCAAUUAUUGGUUAUGAACGAGGAAUUCCUUGUAAUCACGGUUUAUCAACCCGUGUUGAAUGCGUCCCUGCCCUGUGUACACACCGCCCGUCGCUCCUACCGAUGAAUCGUCCGGUGAAGUUCAUGGAGUCGCGGCUGCUCCAGCUGUUUUCGAAGUGAAAUGGACCUCAUGAUUUAGAGGAAGGAGAAGUCGUAACA
This 309-nucleotide ribosomal RNA is filed under the name uncultured eukaryote. Its description in RNAcentral is "partial 18S ribosomal RNA". It matches the Rfam family "Eukaryotic small subunit ribosomal RNA", at positions 1470 to 1796 of the family's 1831-position model. The record is from RNAcentral.